UCGCUACUACCGAUUGAAUGGCUUAGUGAGACCUUCGGAUUGAGGUUUGGUGGCCGCAAGGCUGCUUUGCUUUGAAAAGUUGUUCAAACUUGGUCAUUUAGAGGAAGUAA
This 110-nucleotide ribosomal RNA is filed under the name uncultured eukaryote. RNAcentral describes it as "partial small subunit ribosomal RNA". It matches the Rfam family "Eukaryotic small subunit ribosomal RNA", at positions 1676 to 1785 of the family's 1831-position model. The record is from RNAcentral.